This 521-nucleotide ribosomal RNA is filed under the name uncultured Massilia sp. RNAcentral's name for it is "bacterial SSU rRNA". It matches the Rfam family "Bacterial small subunit ribosomal RNA", at positions 354 to 868 of the family's 1533-position model. Lineage: Bacteria; Pseudomonadati; Pseudomonadota; Betaproteobacteria; Burkholderiales; Oxalobacteraceae. The record is from RNAcentral.
GUGGGGAAUUUUGGACAAUGGGCGAAAGCCUGAUCCAGCAAUGCCGCGUGAGUGAAGAAGGCCUUCGGGUUGUAAAGCUCUUUUGUCAGGGAAGAAACGGUUUGGGCUAAUAUCCUGAGCUAAUGACGGUACCUGAAGAAUAAGCACCGGCUAACUACGUGCCAGCAGCCGCGGUAAUACGUAGGGUGCAAGCGUUAAUCGGAAUUACUGGGCGUAAAGCGUGCGCAGGCGGUUUUGUAAGUCUGACGUGAAAUCCCCGGGCUCAACCUGGGAAUUGCGUUGGAGACUGCAAGGCUAGAAUCUGGCAGAGGGGGGUAGAAUUCCACGUGUAGCAGUGAAAUGCGUAGAGAUGUGGAGGAACACCGAUGGCGAAGGCAGCCCCCUGGGUCAAGAUUGACGCUCAUGCACGAAAGCGUGGGGAGCAAACAGGAUUAGAUACCCUGGUAGUCCACGCCCUAAACGAUGUCUACUAGUUGUCGGGUUUUAAUUAACUUGGUAACGCAGCUAACGCGUGAAGUAGA